UACGAAGGGGGCUAGCGUUGCUCGGAAUCACUGGGCGUAAAGCGCACGUAGGCGGCUUUCUAAGUCAGGGGUGAAAUCCUGGAGCUCAACUCCAGAACUGCCUUUGAUACUGGGAGACUUGAGUCCGGGAGAGGUGAGUGGAACUGCGAGUGUAGAGGUGAAAUUCGUAGAUAUUCGCAAGAACACCAGCGGCGAAGGCGGCUCACUGGCCCGGUACUGACGCUGAGGUGCGAAAGCGUGGGGAGCAAACAGG
This 253-nucleotide ribosomal RNA is filed under the name uncultured bacterium. RNAcentral describes it as "partial 16S ribosomal RNA". It matches the Rfam family "Bacterial small subunit ribosomal RNA", at positions 524 to 776 of the family's 1533-position model. The record is from RNAcentral.